CCCAAAAAAAAAGUAUUUUAACCAAUAGUUACAACCAGGAUCAAAAGUUUUAACUUAUUUUUGGAUUUCAAAAGUUUUCCAACAACCACAAUUCUUGUUCUACCGAGUUGCUGCAUUCUUCCUUGUCAUUGGAGGGGCAAUGGAAUUCACCCCUCUGAUCGCCCUUUUGUUCUUUGCACAGAAGCUUACACUAACUUUCCUUCCCCCUCCUUGAAUUGCCUGACUUAGAAAGUGAAGAACCGACAUUCAUAGCUUCUGCUUCCUUAUGCGCCCUUUUUUCUGCACCAUUAUAGGAGCACAUGUAAAAAACAAUAGUACUCUCAUUGAACCAGACCUCAAAUUGGAAAAUGGAAAUGCCAUAUUAUAGCUUACAUUAGAAUCAAAUGGCUGCUUGAGAGCUUUGUAUUCCGGUUUCACAUUCCUAUUUCCAUUACAGAAUGGAGACCUUAUUAUGAAUAAUGUUGAAUCGUAAUUAUUUUUAUAAAUAUCCUAUUUAUUCAUUUCAACCUUUUAUUUAAGUUUAAUUCAAAUUUUAGUGACACUCGAAUUGUUAAAGAUUCGGAUUGUCACAUGUUUACUUCAAAACUAGAUUGAAAACCAUCAUUUCUAGAAUCAAAAUUUUGCUAAAUCAUCACGGAAUGCAGUCAUCACAAUUUAAUAUAAUGAUCGAGAACAAAACAAAUUGUAAAUGAGUUCCUUUGCAUUUCUUUGUCCUAGAAAGUAUUAAUUUCAACAAACUCAAAAUGCUGCUCAAAGGACACCUUUGAAUGAGAAACUAGGUAAACAAACUGUGGGGAAUCUGUUUACCUAAAGUCAUCACCGGCAAAGGAUUACAAGAUUAUAUCUUGCCAAACCAGUAUAACAGGAAUUCCAACACGAAAGUCAAACACACAAAUCAACAACCUUUUUUUUUUUAACAAUAAAAAACAAAAAAAAUCAGGAGAAGAUUUUAACAGCCUUCAAUGUGGGAUUACCUCCCAUCGGAGUGGACUUCAUAAUCGAUCAAAGUAACCAUAGCUGCCGAAACUUUCAAUCUUACCAUCUUUGCGCGGAAGUGGAUUCAAAUUUCAUUUAGCACAAACCAUAUUACAAUGGGAAAGAUGGAUUUUCAAAAUGGAUUUGAGGUUUAUGGUUUGGGGUAUUUUUUAGUUUUUACACAAUUCUUCUCUCGAUUUUGUCCUACAGAGGCGAAGAGCAAUGAAAUGGAUUUGGGGGUUAGGGUUAGGGAUUCGGUUUGUCUGGAAAUGAUAAGGCGGGUUUGUUUGGAAUUGGGUAAGGCAUGCUUAGCUGAUGUGGAGGAUCUAAUUAACCAUUUAACGGUCCAAGUUAUUAGUCCGUCAUCCCUGUAAGCAGAUCUACCUACGAAUUUUUGAUUUGGCGCGUGAUGGAGUGGGACAGAGCAAAAUUUAGUGGUUAAUGGGACAUUUCAUGUAGUUCGAUGAGUAAGUUGUGAUAUAGUGCAAGUUCAGUGGCCAUUGAAACAUUCAACUCUAACUCGUU
Molecule: long non-coding RNA, 1500 nt
Filed under: Olea europaea (common olive)
Lineage: Eukaryota; Viridiplantae; Streptophyta; Magnoliopsida; Lamiales; Oleaceae
Description: long non-coding RNA (OEUR_LNC008446)
Source: RNAcentral